UGAAAGAAUGUCAGGAAGGGCCACGCGGCA
Molecule: non-coding RNA, 30 nt
Filed under: Macaca fascicularis (crab-eating macaque)
Lineage: Eukaryota; Metazoa; Chordata; Mammalia; Primates; Cercopithecidae
Also listed under: 1 other name
Source: RNAcentral